This 858-nucleotide long non-coding RNA is filed under the name Linum usitatissimum (flax). Its description in RNAcentral is "long non-coding RNA (LUSI_LNC002299)". The record is from RNAcentral. Lineage: Eukaryota; Viridiplantae; Streptophyta; Magnoliopsida; Malpighiales; Linaceae.
GGUUUCUGGAUUAAUCUCCAAUAGCAAACGAUGUUCAAGUGAGGGAAACAAGGAGUUCGAAGCUCCAACUAAUUAACAAGGGUUGAUGAACUCUUCCCAUGAUCAAUCGGUAUAAGGGAGUUUGAUUUCUCUUUCUCAUCGCUUCCAAUAUCGAAAUAUCUCGAAUAUCAUUAUAUUCAAGAUAAACAUAAACCAUACCAAACGACCUCGAUAUGCAAUGCCUCCAUAGCAAUGAGCAAGACUAUAUGCUAAAUUUUAGAGCAGUCCAUAACAUUUCAUACUAGAAGCACACUUUAGAUCCACUGCUUACUAUUUUAGUAUCCCUGUGCUGCAUUUUACAGGAUUGCAAACAAAUUUUGGACUGGACGCAUAUAUAUGUUUGUUCUUACCGUUACUUUUUGCAGGUUAUCGUGUAAACUAAAAGUACAACAGAAACACUGAUGAACAAGAUAGGUAAGCAUUUUCAAGUACAGCCUGCAAAACGAGGCUAAAAGCUCAAUUGAGGAAUCUGUCUUGAAUGAGUAAAGUCCAAAUCAUACCCAAAACAAAUAACAAGAAGAUGCAGAGUUGUUUGAGAACCUGAUUAUUGUGAGAGGAAUGACCGUGUUCGAGAAGCGGCGCUUGUUCCUCCGCUGAAACCAUGGAUUUGUUCCUCGGAGCCUUGUUUCUCCGAUGGAAGAGGAGGAAGGAGACGUGAUAACGCCGGGAGAAAAAGGAGAGCUAGUUGAUAGAAACAGGGGAAAUGAGGUGAGGAAUCUUCAGAUGGCGUGUCGUCGUUGUAAAAAGGAGUAUCAGCCAUAAACAACUACCUCAUUUUAUCCGGGAGCAGUUUAAAAUCCAAACAAAUAAGUUUCAGGA